RNAcentral lists this ribosomal RNA (598 nucleotides) under Salmonella enterica. RNAcentral's name for it is "partial 23S ribosomal RNA". It matches the Rfam family "Bacterial large subunit ribosomal RNA", at positions 711 to 1305 of the family's 2925-position model. The record is from RNAcentral. RNAcentral also lists the same sequence under 1 other name. Lineage: Bacteria; Pseudomonadati; Pseudomonadota; Gammaproteobacteria; Enterobacterales; Enterobacteriaceae.
AGACCCGAAACCCGGUGAUCUAGCCAUGGGCAGGUUGAAGGUUGGGUAACACUAACUGGAGGACCGAACCGACUAAUGUUGAAAAAUUAGCGGAUGACCUGUGGCUGGGGGUGAAAGGCCAAUCAAACCGGGAGAUAGCUGGUUCUCCCCGAAAGCUAUUUAGGUAGCGCCUCGUGAAUUCAUCUCCGGGGGUAGAGCACUGUUUCGGCUAGGGGGCCAUCCCGGCUUACCAACCCGAUGCAAACUGCGAAUACCGGAGAAUGUUAUCACGGGAGACACACGGCGGGUGCUAACGUCCGUCGUGAAGAGGGAAACAACCCAGACCGCCAGCUAAGGUCCCAAAGUCAUGGUUAAGUGGGAAACGAUGUGGGAAGGCCCAGACAGCCAGGAUGUUGGCUUAGAAGCAGCCAUCAUUUAAAGAAAGCGUAAUAGCUCACUGGUCGAGUCGGCCUGCGCGGAAGAUGUAACGGGGCUAAACCAUGCACCGAAGCUGCGGCAGCGACGCUUAUGCGUUGUUGGGUAGGGGAGCGUUCUGUAAGCCUGUGAAGGUGUGUCGUGAGGCAUGCUGGAGGUAUCAGAAGUGCGAAUGCUGACAUAA